RNA transcript from Mauremys mutica (yellowpond turtle), 1850 nucleotides. It is a transcript of the gene named GTP binding protein 8 (putative), with no coding region annotated. Lineage: Eukaryota; Metazoa; Chordata; Testudines; Geoemydidae. The transcript is spliced from 9 exons. The record is from RefSeq and is a predicted model, not a curated record.
CCGAGGGGGGUAGGGAGGGGAGCAGGCCGCUCCGGAGAGGCCGGGCCGGGCCCGCUGCACGGUGCGUCCCCCCGCCCCUGCCCGGAAGCGAGCGCCCCGGCCGGGGUUAAGGGCCGCGGAGAGGUCGGGCCGCUGCCGCCAGGGAGCACGCUGACGAGCUGUUGGGAGACUGGGCAGAGCGGCCAGAGAUGCUCCGGCUGCAGAGGCUGAGGAGGUUGGCGGGGGCAAGCUGCCUGCUCCGGAGACGCAGCGCUACGUGGAGGAGCUCUACCAAAAAUGCAUCGUUUUCGGAAGUGCUGCAGCUGGAGGAUACAAAGCUCACUGGUGUAGUUUUCCCUCUGCAGGGUCUAGAGAGGUAUCUAGCCCCAGGUGUGAACACUGCAAGCUUCCGGAUUUUCAACCCCGGCCUGGAUCACAUCCACAGGGCAGAGGCACUUUUCAAACCCUCGGGCAGACACGUGAUUGAUUAUGUCAGUUCUGCUGUCCGCAUGGACCAUGCACCACAGCUCUCACAGCCUGAGGUAUGCUUUGUGGGCAGAAGCAAUGUUGGGAAAUCCUCCUUAAUAAAGGCCUUGUUUUCAUUGGCUCCCGAUGUUGAAGUCAGAGUGUCAAAAACUCCAGGCCACACAAAGAAAAUGAAUUUCUUCAAGGUGGGGAAAUACUUUACAUUGGUGGACAUGCCAGGGUAUGGCUACCGAGCCCCGCAAGACUUUGCUGACAUGGUGGAGGCCUAUUUACAAGAGCGUCAGAACUUGAAGAGGACGUUCUUAUUAGUGGACAGCGUGGUAGGAUUUCAGAAAGCAGACCACAUUGCCAUAGAAAUGUUGGAGGAGUUUGGGAUCCCUUACGUUUUUGUGUUAACCAAAAUCGACAAAGCUCCCAAGGGACUGUUGGUUAAAAAUGUACUGGAGAUCCAGGACUUUGCAGAGAAGCACACUCAGGGGUGCUUUCCUCAGCUCUUCCCAGUCAGUUCCAUAGAGUAUUCUGGUAUCCACCUGCUGAGGUGUUUUAUAGCCCAUGUUACAGGAAACCUUCCCAUGAUGAAUUCCUGACAGCCACAACUCUCUUGUUGUAUUCUACUCAUCCAGCACAACAGUGUUGACAAGGAAGUAGCAAGAACACUCUUUCCUGCUGUAUGGCUUCCUACCUGGAAGUGGAAAGGACUUGUCCUUUAAGAAGUUACGAGAGGAUGAUGCCUGCAAAGGAAGUCUGGUACACAAGCUGCAUGGAAUCCUACAUGAAAAGCCACCAUCUCCAGGACACGGUACAACUUAUCAAGCAGUUGCAUUUUCUCUUCAUUUGUUGUCCUCACAGCAAUCUGGUGCCUGCGGAAUACAAAUACAUUACCUUAAUUGCAUGCCCAGGCCAAAGAGAAACCUCUGUCAACUUUAAAAGGAAAUGUAAUAAUGUUAGAAAAACAAGAGGCUGGAUGAUUUAAACCUACUUUUCCAUUUGUACUUAAGUGUCUUUCUAAAGGAAGGUGCACUCUCAUUGGAAGAUGCAACUAUUAAAACAUUAAUUUACAACUAAAGCCUUUUCACUAGAUUUAGUGCAUCUUUUGCUACCUAAGAGGAUACAUAAUUUCUUAAAUUUAGAUAAUUCUAGUGUAUCUUAAUAUUUUCAGAUUAACUGUACAUUUUUAGUAUGUUAGAAAACGGUGAGUGAUAUUGCUUAUUUACUAGAUAAUUUAUUUUUUGCUCUGAUUUGUGUCAAGCUGUAUUAGGAGGGUAACUGGAAUUUAAACAAACACAAAACAGCAUAAAAAAUACCACCUUAAAUGUUUCGGACAGAAUCUCUUAUCAAAGCAUGUUCCAUGUUUACAACUAAUCUCUAUUUAAUAAAUCAUUUAA